GCGAAGUGGAUUAUUUAAAUCUCUUCAUGUCUGGGUUCAGGUAUGAGCAUCGGAAAGUUGCAUGCACCAGCCUUAUACAGGAGACUAAACCAUGCUAUGUAGAUCUGAGCUACUUUUAUUGGAACAGCUAUAAUAACAGAAUCUUCCUUCCUCUCUAUGCUGAUCUUGGGUUAUUCUUUGGUUUUCUGAAGAGCUCUAAGAGAUGAUAUGCCAGAUGUGACACCUCUAGAUCAUAGGAGAAAGACAAAGGGUGAAUCUGACCAAACACAAAAUCAUUUAAACACAACACUGGAAGAUGAUUAUUACAUUCGGGGUCUGCUUGUGAACUGAUGCAACCGAUAG
Molecule: long non-coding RNA, 342 nt
Organism: Pantherophis guttatus
Lineage: Eukaryota; Metazoa; Chordata; Lepidosauria; Squamata; Colubridae
Source: RefSeq, a predicted model, not a curated record